AAACCAACAGGGAUUGCCUUAGUAACGGCGAGUGAAGCGGCAAAAGCUCAAAUUUGAAAUCUAGCACUUUCAGUGUUCGAGUUGUAAUUUGAAGAAAGUUUCUCUGAGUAGUCCUUUAUCUAUGUUCCUUGGAACAGGACGUCAUAGAGGGUGAGAACCCCGUAUGAUUUUGGAUCCUACUCUCUGUGAGAUUCUUUCGAAGAGUCGAGUUGUUUGGGAAUGCAGCUCUAAGUGGGUGGUAAAUUCCAUCUAAAGCUAAAUAUUGGCGAGAGACCGAUAGCGAACAAGUACAGUGAUGGAAAGAUGAAAAGAACUCUGAAGAGAGAGUGAAAAAGUACGUGAAAUUGCUGAAAGGGAAGGGCUUGAGGUCAGACUUGGUGUUUAAUGAUUAUCUUCUCUUCUUGAGGAGUGCACUCGUUUUUCACCGGGCCAAUAUCAGUUUUUGGGGUAGAGCACCUCUUGGAAUGUAGCUUCCUUCGGGGAGUGUUAUAGCCUUGAGACGAUCUAUUUCCAGAGACUGAGGACUGCGCAUUAUUGCAAGGAUAUUGGCGUAAUGACCUUAAGCCAC
This 568-nucleotide ribosomal RNA is filed under the name Saccharomycopsis capsularis. RNAcentral's name for it is "eukaryotic LSU rRNA". It matches the Rfam family "Eukaryotic large subunit ribosomal RNA", at positions 62 to 648 of the family's 3401-position model. The record is from RNAcentral. Lineage: Eukaryota; Fungi; Ascomycota; Saccharomycetes; Ascoideales; Saccharomycopsidaceae.